This 738-nucleotide ribosomal RNA is filed under the name uncultured Russula. RNAcentral describes it as "partial 28S ribosomal RNA". It matches the Rfam family "Eukaryotic large subunit ribosomal RNA", at positions 216 to 962 of the family's 3401-position model. The record is from RNAcentral. Lineage: Eukaryota; Fungi; Basidiomycota; Agaricomycetes; Russulales; Russulaceae.
GAAUCCCGUCUUUGGCACGGAUGCACCAGGGCUUUUGUGAUGCGCUCUCGAAGAGUCGAGUUGUUUGGGAAUGCAGCUCAAAAUGGGUGGUGAACUCCAUCUAAAGCUAAAUAUUGGCGAGAGACCGAUAGCGAACAAGUACCGUGAGGGAAAGAUGAAAAGCACUUUGGAAAGAGAGUGAAACAGUACGUGAAAUUGUUGAAAGGGAAACGCUUGAAGUCAGUCGCGUCGACCGAGACUCAGCCUUGCCUCGGCUCGGUGUACUUCUCGGCCGACGGGUCAGCAUCAAUUUUGCCCCUCGGAUAAUGGCGAGAGAAAGGUGGCACCCUCACGGGUGUGUUAUAGUCUCCCGUCGGAUGCGAGGGUCGGGAUUGAGGAACUCGGCACGUACCGUGCUUAGGAUGUUGGCAUAAUGGCUUUAAACGACCCGUCUUGAAACACGGACCAAGGGGUCUAACAUGCCCGCGAGUGUUCGGGUGGAAAACCCGUGCGCGUAAUGAAAGUAAAAGUUGGGACCCCUGUCGUGGGGGGCACCGACGCCCGGACCAGACCUUCUGUGACGGAUCUGCGGUAGAGCGUGCAUGUUGGGACCCGAAAGAUGGUGAACUAUGCCUGAAUAGGGUGAAGCCAGAGGAAACUCUGGUGGAGGCUCGUAGCGAUUCUGACGUGCAAAUCGAUCGUCAAAUUUGGGUAUAGGGGCGAAAGACUAAUCGAACCAUCUAGUAGCUGGUUCCUGCC